UAAUACGUAGGGGGCUAGCGUUGUCCGGAAUCAUUGGGCGUAAAGCGCGCGUAGGCUGUCAGUUAAGUCUGGUGUGAAAGUCAAAGGCUCAACCUUUGAAUGCCGCUGGAAACUGGCUGACUUGAGUCCGGAAGGGGCGAGUGGAAUUCCUGGUGUAGCGGUGAAAUGCGCAGAUAUCAGGAGGAACACCAAUGGCGAAGGCAGCUCGCUGGAACGGUACUGACGCUGAGGCGCGAAAGCGUGGGGAGCGAACAGGAUUAGAUACCCUGGUAGUCCACGCUGUAAACGAUGGGCACUAGGUGUGGGAGGUGUCGACUCCUCCUGUGCCGAAGCUAACGCAUUAAGUGCCCCGCCUGGGGAGUACGGCCGCAAGGCUA
Molecule: ribosomal RNA, 377 nt
Filed under: uncultured bacterium
Lineage: Bacteria
Description: bacterial SSU rRNA
Rfam family: Bacterial small subunit ribosomal RNA
Source: RNAcentral